Molecule: ribosomal RNA, 498 nt
Filed under: uncultured bacterium
Lineage: Bacteria
Description: partial 16S ribosomal RNA
Rfam family: Bacterial small subunit ribosomal RNA
Source: RNAcentral
AUUGAACGCUGGCGGCAUGCCUUACACAUGCAAGUCGAACGGUAACAGGUCUUCGGAUGCUGACGAGUGGCGAACGGGUGAGUAAUACAUCGGAACGUGCCUAGUAGUGGGGGAUAACUACUCGAAAGAGUGGCUAAUACCGCAUGAGAUUUACGGAUGAAAGCAGGGGAUCGCAAGACCUUGUGCUACUAGAGCGGCCGAUGGCAGAUUAGGUAGUUGGUGGGAUAAAAGCUGACCAAGCCGACGAUCUGUAGCUGGUCUGAGAGGACGAUCGGCCGCACUGGGAAGGAGACACGGCCUUGACUCCUAGGGGACGCAGCGGUGGGGGAGUUUGGGACAUGGGCGAAAGCCUGCUCCAGCGAGGCCGAGUGCAGGAUGAAGGCCUUCGGGUUGUAAACUGCUUUUGUACGGAACGAAAAGCCCUGGGUUAAUACGCUGGGGUCAUGACGGUACCGUAAGAAUAAGCACCGGCUAACUACGUGCCAGCAGCCGCCGCGG